GACUCCUACGGGAGGCAGCAGUGGGGAAUUUUGGACAAUGGGCGAAAGCCUGAUCCAGCAAUGCCGCGUGUGUGAAGAAGGCCUUCGGGUUGUAAAGCACUUUUGUCCGGAAAGAAAUCCUUGAUUCUAAUACAGUCGGGGGAUGACGGUACCGGAAGAAUAAGCACCGGCUAACUACGUGCCAGCAGCCGCGGUAAUACGUAGGGUGCAAGCGUUAAUCGGAAUUACUGGGCGUAAAGCGUGCGCAGGCGGUUUGCUAAGACCGAUGUGAAAUCCCCGGGCUCAACCUGGGAACUGCAUUGGUGACUGGCAAGCUAGAGUAUGGCAGAGGGGGGUAGAAUUCCACGUGUAGCAGUGAAAUGCGUAGAGAUGUGGAGGAAUACCGAUGGCGAAGGCAGCCCCCUGGGCCAAUACUGACGCUCAUGCACGAA
Molecule: ribosomal RNA, 431 nt
Filed under: Burkholderia sp.
Lineage: Bacteria; Pseudomonadati; Pseudomonadota; Betaproteobacteria; Burkholderiales; Burkholderiaceae
Description: bacterial SSU rRNA
Rfam family: Bacterial small subunit ribosomal RNA
Source: RNAcentral